This 253-nucleotide ribosomal RNA is filed under the name uncultured bacterium. RNAcentral describes it as "partial 16S ribosomal RNA". It matches the Rfam family "Bacterial small subunit ribosomal RNA", at positions 524 to 776 of the family's 1533-position model. The record is from RNAcentral.
UACAUGGGGUGCAAACGUUGCUCGGAAUUAUUGGGCGUAAAGCGCACGUAGGCGGUUCGUUAUGUCGGAUGUGAAAGCCCUUGGCUUAACCGAGGAAGUGCAUCCGAAACUGGCGAGCUAGAGUAGGGCAGAGGGUGGUGGAAUUUCCCGUGUAGCGGUGAAAUGCGUAGAUAUAGGAAGGAACACCAGUGGCGAAGGCGACCACCUGGGCUCAUACUGACACUGAGGUGCGAAAGCGUGGGGAGCAAACAGG